GGAAGGAAUAGGAAGGUUUGGGCUGGAGUGGAAGAACACAAAAACUUACCAGUUCAGUUAGAUUACGUUUGAGAACACAAAUCAACUGCAGGAUAUGACUGACACUGCCCAAUGUAACAGUCAGCAUGAUUUAACUCUCACUAUUCCUGUAGCCUAUAAUUUUAACCAUAUAGCCCGUAACAGUCCACAAAUGACAUAACUCAAGGAACAUACCCACGUACAAUUGCAGUAGAACAGUCCCUUCAUUCAUCUACAAGACUGCUGUGCUUCCUUGAGAUACAAGAGGUGCAGAGACUUCAUAUGUGUGAAAGCUAAAAGGUUGCCAUAACAGAGCACAGGUGUGGGACUGCCCUACACACUCUGCACCAGCACAAGUCUGCUACCAGCCUGUGAGCCAGAAAUAAAGCUUACAGCAAAGUCCUCAGCAACUCAUCACAUAAGAGGGAGAUCAGGGGAGGAAGCACUGCUGAACAUGAGGCUCUAUGAAUUGUAUAAGUAUCUGAAAGGUGCUUACAGCCAGAGUGGGGCUGGUCUCUUCUCACUGGUGACAGGUGACAGGAUGAGGGGAAAUGACCUCACAUUGCUCCAGGCUCUUCUAUUGGAGGAGACAGUGAAGCUUCAGUCUAUGUCUGCCCUUUUGGAAACUCUCUGGAUAUUUGGAAACUUCAGUUCUAUUGCACAGUGGGACACCUCCUUGCUGGCGGAAGAGUCUAAGCUGUCCUUUUGGAGGAAAGUGCUUCUG
RNAcentral lists this long non-coding RNA (742 nucleotides) under Gallus gallus (chicken). RNAcentral's name for it is "lncRNA (ENSGALG00010009221.1)". The record is from RNAcentral. Lineage: Eukaryota; Metazoa; Chordata; Aves; Galliformes; Phasianidae.